This 243-nucleotide ribosomal RNA is filed under the name uncultured Actinomycetales bacterium. RNAcentral's name for it is "partial 16S ribosomal RNA". It matches the Rfam family "Bacterial small subunit ribosomal RNA", at positions 88 to 334 of the family's 1533-position model. The record is from RNAcentral. Lineage: Bacteria; Bacillati; Actinomycetota; Actinomycetes; Actinomycetales.
UACUCGAGUGGCGAACGGGUGAGUAACACGUGGGUGAUCUGCCCUGCACUUCGGGAUAAGCCUGGGAAACUGGGUCUAAUACCGGAUAGGAGCCAUUUUUAGUGUGAUGGUUGGAAAGUUCUUUCGGUGUAGGAUGAGCUCGCGGCCUAUCAGCUUGUUGGUGGGGUAAUGGCCUACCAAGGCGGCGACGGGUAGCCGGCCUGAGAGGGUGGACGGCCACAUUGGGACUGAGAUACGGCCCAG